UCUGAAUUGAUCUUCUUGCUUGUCUCCUCUGCAUAGCUGUUGAGUUCCCUUGCACUAUGACUUGCUGGUCGUUUGGGGCACGUUGGGAGAUACUGAAACCAGUUAGCAGCACAGAACUUGGAACCAAAUCCAAAGGUGUUUAUGUUUUAAUUGUUCUGUAACCCACCUCAAGCCAUGAGGAGAGGCAGAUAAAGGAUUAUGCAUCAAAAAAGCCACAGUCUUCUUAUGUACCUGUUUCCAGCAUGUGUGAAUUAUUCUGUACCCAGUAAGGAAGUGUUAAACCCGUGAAUACUGAAAAUCCGAAGAUGAACAAGUUUCUUGAAGAGUUCAUAUCUACGUACUGAAAAAAGAGUUCCUUGCAGGAGCACAUGUGAGCAGACUCGUCUCUUGGGCGUGAGUCCACAGGUCUCCUUCCUAUGGCCACGGAUGAAUAAAUCUGCCCCUGUCUUAUGUCUUCAACUGCCUUUGAUAAGAAACUACCAGGGCCAGCUAAUUACAUCCCAACAAAGGAUUCCCCCAGGAGGAAAGCAGCCAAGCUUUGAAGAUUCAAGGUUGUUCAAUGCUAAUCAAGAUGAUCAUUUGCAACAUUCAACACUUGCCUCUAACAGGCAAUAGUUCUUUCUCCCACCCUGGACAUUCCACGAAUAUAGAAACCCCACAGCCUCUGAGAAUCAUAGAUAUGGGUGAAACGUCAGGAGAGAAUGCUUCUGGAACAUAGACAUACAGCCCGGAGUACUCAUAGCAACCGAGUGAUUCUGGUCAUGAAAACCAUCAACAGCACAUUAAUCAAGAUAUUGUUUAAAAGCAAAAGUGGUAUUAAAUCUGCCAUGUCUUUUGGAAAAGCAGAAGUUACAUUAUUAUUGAACACAUACCACCACCGUGGACUACUGCUCUCAGAAACCCCAGGCCAUCAAGGCAGCAAUGUAUCUAAGCUUGGCAUGUUUGACUUGUAAACCUCCAAAACAAAAGACAUGAAUACGAACACACAGUGCAUACCUCUCGCAUUCGUGUCUGCCAGACCUCAAUAAAUAUUGGAGAAGUAGCAUUGACCAAGGUGGCAUUUUGGGUCCAAGCAGGGCACUGCCAUUGGGGGAGACUGAGCAUGGCCAGUGUAGGGGUUACGAAGGCAAACGUUCCUCCUUGUAAGAUAGGCAGCCUGUGUUGAGGGCAGAAUGGUGGGGAGGAAGACAUAUGGUUCAACAGAAGGAACUUUGCAAGUUUUCUUGAACGAGACAGAUUAUACAUUAACGCAAAAAUAACAGCAACUUUCAUCUUUGAAAUCAUUGAUCUAUCUUUGACACCCAAUGAAUGGCAUAGCUAAAACUAGUGGUCUCCAACUGCAUUGGCUACAACUGCCAUCAUUGGUCUUCACCCAUUUCUUAUGACCUUACUUAAGGUAAUCCAAUGGUAACCGAAUAAGGAAGGAAAGGGGAAAGAGGAUGCGAGAAAAAGAGAUUUUCACACUGGCCAAGAAUGAUAUAUUAUACCAGAAAGGAAAAAAUGGUCUGCAGAAGAUUGAUGGACUCCAACCUUGACAACAACAAACAAAAAGACAAUGUUACUCCUUAUUUUUGCGUGCCCUGCAAAACAUUCCUUUGACUCUUGUUUCUUCCUUCUGAAAAAUAUUGGCAUCCGAUUUCAUUACCCUCCCAACACAAACACACAAGCCAAAGACCAAGCACACACAGGAGAGAAGUGUGUGUGUGUGAGGGGGGUAGUUGUACAGAUCAUUUUAUGGAAGACUCAUAUAUGUAUUUGUUUCUUUCACACAUACAUGUGCUGGAAAAUAGACCUGCAAAUAACCAUGAUUGAAUUUAUAUUUCCAGGCUCUCCAUAUACCAUAUACAUUCUGUAGGUGGCAAAAAGCUUUACAUUACUCUUCCCACACCUGCUGUCCGCCACUAAUUUUGGUCUAUAAUUCCCAGACAUAAGAACUCCCUUAAUUCUCCACUGAAACAAUCCAUAUUAAGGUGAAAUGAAAACCAGAGGUAACUAUUUAGCUAACAUGUUUCUUCAUUUCUGGAUGUCUUUUUAAAAAAGACAUCACAAAAAUCAAAGCAUCAUAGAACUGAAAAGGACUGCAAGGGCCAUUCAGGAACACAGUACUAAUUUCAAUUCACCUUCACAGGAGAAAUACACAUAGAGACCUUCUCACGAGAUCAAUACCACAAUAAACCUUGGCAACACAUAUAAAGAAAUAUUUUUGCACUGAUGUACUUCAAAGAAGGCAUUGUAAUUUUGUAAACUUGGUGCUCACAGAUCUGCCCAAGGCAUUUAUUCGCAUCUAUUGGCAUCUUCCACAGGAGCUGCAGUGAUGCAAUGGGUUGAACCCUUGUGCCGGCUGAACUUCUGACCUGAAGGUUUUCAGUGUGAAUCCGCAAGGUGGGGUGAGCUCCCCUCUGCCAGCUCUUGCUUGCGUGGACAUGAGAGAAGCCUCCCAGCAAACACAUCUGGCUGUUCCCUGGGCAACGUCUCUGUAGACGGCCAAUCCUCUCACACCAGAAGCUACUUGCAAUAUGUUCUCAAGUCACUUCUGACAUGAUAAAAAAGCAUGUUCCACAAAUUAAAGGUUAUAUCUGAGGCAAUCAUAAAGGUGCUUUGGGUGUGGAGGAAUAUAUCUCUCAUUUUUCAUUACAUUGAGACAUAUUGCUGUUUUGUUCAGCUGACACACAUCAGCAGACUAAAACAAUACUAGCAAAGGAAACUGUUUCGCCUGCUCUUUGUGUUGUAGGGAUAUGAGUUAUGCCCACCAAUAGAGUUAUCCAGAUAGAAAACUGGGGAGGACUCCUGUCUCUUUAAUGGUUAUGGAAAAGCAUGAAUUUCAGCAGGUGAUGCUUGUCAUGCCACCAGGUAACAAGUCAAGAUACAGCUGCUGAAAUCCCUCUUAUUCACCACCAUCAAAGGUAUAUGAGCCCUCUCCAGUUUUCUCUCUUGCAACCCUAUUUACCAAUCUUGCCCAUGUUGCUUAACAUGUCUAAAUCCUGAUUCUAAGUUUUCCUCUCAGUCAACAUUUUAUUAGCUCAUCUAGUUUUCCAUUGUCUAGACCAAUUAGAACAGCCAAAGAAAAAACUCAUAAACCCCAAAACUCAUAAACCCCAAAGCACAUGUUUACUUCUAAGUAAACAGAUAUUUAAGAAUGGGUGUUUUCAAAGGGCCCUUCCACACAGCCAUAUAACCCAGAAUAUCAAGUCAGAGAAUCCACAAUAUCUGCUUUGAACUGGAUUAUCUGAGUCCACACUGCCAAAUAAUCCAGUUCACCAUGAAUUUUAUACAGCUGUGUGGAAGGGACCAAAGUUAGUGGACAAGGGUGAGUGAUGUUAUGCUUUGCAAACAAAACAUUCCCGAUGCAAAUAUUGUCUUUCUCUCCAACUAGGAUCAGCGUUAUGACAGGACUCCAAUAGGAAUGGUUGUUCUCUGUUCUGCUACUGAACUAUGAUCUUCAAUCUGGAUGCUCCUUCUUUUCCUAUCAUAACGUUAAUGCAAUGAUCAGAGGCAGUACCACUACAGCACUGCUUUCUAAUGGAUAGGUGCUUUUAAAUUGUUUGGAAGUGAGAUCCAUCCGUAAAUGUAUCCAAUCUUACAUUAUCCACUAAUAAACAAAUUCUGUUUUUUGAGCUGACCAUUCUCUUUCUACAAUAGAACUAUAGCAAUACCAUUAUGUAUAUUCAGAGAGAGAGAGAGAUAGCGUUUCAGAAUUUUUCUGCCAUGUAGUAUCUGCCUCCUUUUAACCACCUGGAUAAAAUAAAACACCACAAAUCCUGCA
Molecule: long non-coding RNA, 3763 nt
Organism: Anolis carolinensis (green anole)
Lineage: Eukaryota; Metazoa; Chordata; Lepidosauria; Squamata; Anolidae
Exons: 5
Source: RefSeq, a predicted model, not a curated record